This 606-nucleotide ribosomal RNA is filed under the name uncultured bacterium. Its description in RNAcentral is "bacterial SSU rRNA". It matches the Rfam family "Bacterial small subunit ribosomal RNA", at positions 244 to 855 of the family's 1533-position model. The record is from RNAcentral.
GCUUGUUGGUGGGGUGAUGGCCUACCAAGGCGACGACGGGUAGCCGGCCUGAGAGGGCGACCGGCCACACUGGGACUGAGACACGGCCCAGACUCCUACGGGAGGCAGCAGUGGGGAAUAUUGCACAAUGGGCGCAAGCCUGAUGCAGCGACGCCGCGUGGGGGAUGACGGCCUUCGGGUUGUAAACCUCUUUCGUCAGGGAAGAAGCCUUUUUGGGGUGACGGUACCUGGAGAAGAAGCACCGGCUAACUACGUGCCAGCAGCCGCGGUAAUACGUAGGGUGCGAGCGUUGUCCGGAAUUAUUGGGCGUAAAGAGCUUGUAGGCGGUUUGUCGCGUCUGCGGUGAAAACCCGGGGCUUAACCUUGGGCGUGCCGUGGGUACGGGCAGGCUAGAGUGUGGUAGGGGAGACUGGAAUUCCUGGUGUAGCGGUGAAAUGCGCAGAUAUCAGGAGGAACACCGAUGGCGAAGGCAGGUCUCUGGGCCAUAACUGACGCUGAGAAGCGAAAGCAUGGGGAGCGAACAGGAUUAGAUACCCUGGUAGUCCAUGCCGUAAACGUUGGGCGCUAGGUGUGGGGCUCAUUCCACGAGUUCUGUGCCGCAGCUAA